Molecule: long non-coding RNA, 783 nt
Organism: Mobula hypostoma (lesser devil ray)
Lineage: Eukaryota; Metazoa; Chordata; Chondrichthyes; Myliobatiformes; Myliobatidae
Exons: 3
Source: RefSeq, a predicted model, not a curated record
GAUACAGCUUGCGGAUGUAAAAGUCUUAAGAGACUUUAUUUGAGACACAGACAAUUGGUAUCCUUUGGAGUCAUGAGAGAAAGAGCAAAGAAAUACUGAAAGCUCUGAGAUGCAACAGGAACUUAUGAAGGCACAUGGAAAGUUGGCCUCUUUUGCAUGGGGAAUAGAAGACAAAAGUUAGUCGGAGUUUGGUGAGACACACUUGGGAUACUGCAAACAGAUUUGAAAACAUUAGUUGGUUAGGCAUGGACAAGAGAAAAUCUGCAGAUGCUGGAAAUCCAAGCAACACAUGCAAAACGUUGGAGGAACUCAGCAGGCCAGGCAGCAUCUAUGGAAAAAAGUACGGUCAAUGUUUUGGGCCGAAGGCGGAGUUUAGGAGGGAUUAUGGCCCCUAACGGCAACUCCUUUGCUUGCCUCUUCAGAAAUAGCUCUAUUUUCACCUUUAAUAUCUUUAUUUGUCCCUUUCGGGGUCCUUUUGAAGACCCUGACCUGGAGUUACACACAGGCUUUGGUUCAUUGUGGGAAUGGGACCUGUUCUCGGGGUUCCACAACUGGCUGUUAUUCGACAUACCAGGGGUUUUGAUAAUGAGAGUCUCGAUAAUAUUCAGAAGCCUAAGACCUCGGGACUCUGGAGAUGGGAGGAUCGAGGGUUGGUGUCACGGCAGAAGACUCAUGUGUCAUCGGGGAGGCCGGAAAAUCUUUCGCUGUGGGCCCGAAGACCAGAGGUCUUUGUGAUCUUCGGACACAGAGCUCGAAAAAGCAACAAAAUGGACUUUUAUCAUC